UUAAUUUAUUUAUUUUUAAAUUCAUAUCGCAUAUUAUGAGGAACUGAACUUCUUCUCUAAUCUCAAAAUACGAUUUUGGGGUUAGGGCUUCCAGCUUCAACUCCAGGCUUAAGGCAAUCGAUCAAUCAUGUUUGGGGGUUUGAACACGAUUCUUUGAGAGCUUAGGGCUUCAAUGAUAUGGAAAUGGGUAGAAAAAGGUAUUGCCAUUGUCGACCACCAAGGUUAGUGGUAGAGAGAAUCUCCUGGACUAACAGAAAUCAUGGAAUUCAAAGUAUGCACAAGGUAUCAGGUUCAUGGAGUGUGUAACUACUUUAAGUGGGUAGACCCUCUUAUGUGCCAACGAGCAAAAGAGGUGAUCCCAGGGCUAUUAAGGAAAAUCAAUAGCCUAGAAUCACAAAUUUCCUCUAUUAACACCACUAAAGUAUGGUCUGGGCAUCAACAAAUAUUUGGUGCUUCAUAUGAAUGUGAAGCACAAUCACAUACUGAGAGAUAUGGUGUAUGUGAAAGAUGUGCAUAAAGUAGGCUUAGAGUGCAUAAUCCAUGUGACAAUGAUCAGUUGAAGAACAAUUGGAUGUGUUUGUACUUGGUUGUAAUUUUCUUGCUUGGUGUAAUUUUGGCAAGAAUUUUAAUGUAAAAGUUUGGUUGUAAUUAUGUUGGUUGAUUAUGAAUGAAAUUAAUGGUUGAUGCCCACGUUGGUUUUGCA
Long non-coding RNA from Humulus lupulus (European hop), 703 nucleotides. RefSeq lists it as uncharacterized. The transcript has 2 exons. The record is from RefSeq and is a predicted model, not a curated record. Lineage: Eukaryota; Viridiplantae; Streptophyta; Magnoliopsida; Rosales; Cannabaceae.